CAAACUCGUGGUCCCUGAUCGAUAUUUUAUUCUUGACUUUGUAAAUAAGUUAUAAUGAACUUCACUGACUAAGGACUUUACUUGUCACAUGACUCAAGACGUCCAAGGGAGGAGAUGAUCUGCAGCAUCCUGGUGAUCUUCAUCCUGACCUCCUGUGUCUGUGCAGGGUCAUUUGUAGUGAAUGUGACACAGAGCUGGUAUCAUGCAGAGGAGAACCACAACAUCUCACUGGAAUGGAUGUUCCCCACCAGCACGGACCACUCCACCAACUCCCUUUAUGUCUCCUGUGAGAUGUUACCUGAUGAGAUACCCUUAGUCCUGUUUGUGCUACAUAAAGGUGUGGAGGUCCCAGAGUUUCAGGAUAAACGCUUUUCAGGACGAGUCCAGUGGGACAAAGACGUCCUCAGAGAAGGACGACUCAGACUUCACAUCUCCAGACUCCAGACUAAUGACUCUGGGCUGUACUGGUGUCAAGUGGACACAAGUUAUGGGAAGAACUAUAAGGAAUGUCACCUCAAUGUCACUGCAGUGAAGGAUCGACCUGAACCUGAGACAACCAGUGACACCAGUCUGAGAGGAAGGAUCGGUCUCUACUGUUCACUGGGAAUACUGGGACUAGAAGCAGCUCUACUGGGUUUUCAUUUAUUUUAUCUCUGCAUUGCAAAACAGACUAGUGAUCAACACAAAACACGACACAUCAGAACCACAAUUCAAGAUAUUAAUCUUGAAACAUUGGGACCAAAAUGAUUGACCUUCUGGUAGGACUUCUGACAUCACAGUAUGAAUGGAAGUCAAUGGUGGCAUCAAGCGUCAGGACGACUGUGGGUGGAGAGUCCAGUCAGAGGAUCCACGGUUCCAUCCCAGAGCCUGCUGACCCGCGUGUUGAUGUGUCCUUGAGCAAGACACUUGACCAGCAUCGCUCCUGUAGCUGUGACCUCACAGUGUCCAUAUUCGCUUUUUUUUUCUUUGCCUGAGAUUCAAAGGAAAUCCAGUCUUUUUGUCCUGGACCUCUUCAGCUCCUCUAACAGAGGCUCUUACUACUGAACAGAUGCUACAUUAAGCGUCAUUCUGCUCCUGAUCCAAGACGAAUGUUCCUUCUGGUUCUUGUUUCUAAAGAAGAUUUAGAUUCUGUAUGUUUACUUGCUGACUUGUUCACAUUGUUCUGGUGACUUUACGUCUGGUCGUUGCUCCACAGAAGAAGGAGACGUCACUCGGGACGUCGUGGUCGUAAAUCAUUUCACUGUCUAACAAUGUAGCCGCACCUUGCCUCAAUAUUGCAUUUUGCACAUUAUGCGAUUAAUCGCUGUCAAUCAGAAUACUGAUGCGAUUAAUCAAAUUCAAAUUUUUCAUCUUUUAUUACUCUUAUACAUACUAUAUCAUAUUUGUACAAAACAUAUACUGUUACAUUACUUAUAUUAUCCUACUUUUUUUAAAUAAACCAUUACCUUUUUAAUCAGCUUCUUAAUUUGUCGUAUUAAUUCAAAAAGUCACAAAGUGAUCAAAACCAUCCUCAAUAAUACAAAUGUAUUUUAUUUCAUCAUUUGAUCACUAAAGAAGACAAAAGGAAAGAUGUUUAGAGUCAUUAUCAGCUUCGUGAAGCAUUAAACUGACACUACCUGCUA
Molecule: long non-coding RNA, 1622 nt
Organism: Pungitius pungitius (ninespine stickleback)
Lineage: Eukaryota; Metazoa; Chordata; Actinopteri; Perciformes; Gasterosteidae
Exons: 4
Source: RefSeq, a predicted model, not a curated record